UCACAUGCUAUUGAUUGUGCCAGACAAUGAGCAAUAAAAUAGGUAAGAAUGGCAGUCGGGGAAGUCAGCUGGGUUCUAGUUACAGCCGCAUUUCAGGAAAUUGUUUAAUAUGCUGACUUUAACAACCUAAACCUCUUGUCCAUGUGUGCACACAGGGUAGACCUCUGAAGAGUGGCGCUGUAAUUUCUAUGGUAACAGCUGUGUUAAGUCAAGGCAGGAAGACAGUUCAGCCUCCUCGCAGGCUAGUAGUGCAAAGGGCUCUUCACUCGGAUUAAAGCCUUCUCUCCCAGACUGAAUUGCCCACCCCACUGUGAACCCCCUAAACUUGAGACAGGUCUCAGUUAAUUUAGAAAGUUUAUUUUGCCAAGGUUGAGGAUGCACCAAUGACAGCCUCAGGGAAGUCUUGACAAAAUAUGCCCAAGGUUGUCAGGCACAGCUUGGUUUCAUACAUUUAGGGAGACAUCAUGAGACAUCAGUCAAUAUAUGUUAAGAAGUACAUUGCUUCAUCUGGAAAGACAGGACAACUUGAAGCAAAGGCAGGAAGACUGAAGUGGGGAGGAAGCUUCCAGGUCACAGAUGGCUGAUACACAAAUGGUUCCAUUCUUUUGAGUUUCUGAUCAGCCUUUCCAAAGGAGGCAAAUCAGAUAAGCAUCUAUCUGAUUGGGCAGAGGAGUGACUUUGAAUAGAAUGGGAGGCAGGUUUGCCCUAAGCAGUUCCCGGCUUGACUUUUCCUUCGUGAUUUUGGGGACCACAGAUAUUUUCCUUUCACAUUUCCACCCUUUUCUUUUUAAAAACCUGUUGGAGAAAGCAUUUUACAAGAAAAUAAGUCUCUGGUCUCAGGUUUCAUUUGAUCUCUCAUGGCGAGGACAGUUUAUUCCUUGAUGGGUAGGUCCCAAAAGCUCAUUUUUAGCAGGUUGUUAAGUCUCAUGUCCUGUGAAGAGAAAAUAGUGGGAGGAAGAGAGAGAAAACAACAACAAACAAAAGAACAAUCCGGGAAACAUUUGAUAUAGGCCACAUUACUCUGAAGUCUAUGCAUCAGUAGGCAGGUAUGAAAGUGGUUUAUGUAUGUAAAUAGGUUGCUGUUAUUUUCUUCUGAAGUUUAAGUUGUCUGGCUUCAGUUCACAGGAUUUUAAGAAAGCACAGCUUAGUUUUCGGUGACUCCAAAUUAGGAAAAAUGGAAAAAAGAAGGAAAAAAAUUUAAAAAUUAUUUUGGAGACUUGUAAUAAAAAAAAUUAGAAUUUGGUCCAAACUGUAGAAAGUAAUCCAAAUUGAAAAAAAAUUAGGCAAGACUAGAAUCUAACACAGAUAUAUAAUCAUUUGGAAACAUAAGUUUUUCUCCAGUUUCCCAUUUUACUAAAGACAAAUCAUGGUAGGAAUAGUUAACUUAUUAUAUUGGUCUAUAUAUUUGUAUACAUUGCAUCAAUAAUAAUAAUUUUUUUUACAUAGGCUUUUAAAUUGGCUUUGAUGUAACUUUGUUCCAUAAGAGAAAUCUUGGAUAAGACACACCCACCUCUUCUGCCUCAGGAACUGACUGAGACUUUGAUGAGACUUUGAUUCCAUUUGUAGGCACAGAUUCUGCUGGAGACCUGCCCCUGGAGCCAGAGAAAUCUUGGAUAAGACACACCCAUCUCUUCUGCCUCAGGAACUGAGACUUUGAUGAGACUUUGUUUGCAUUGUAGGCACAGAUUCAGCUGGAGACUUGCCCCUGGAGCCAGAGAAAUCUUGGAUAAGACACACCCAUCUCUUCUGCCUCAGGAACUGAGACUUUGAUGAGACUUUGAUUCCAUUUGUAGGCACAGAUUCAGCUGGAGACCUGCCCCUGGAGCCAGAGAAAUCUUGGAUAAGACACACCCAUCUCUUCUGCCUCGGGAACUGAGACUUUGAUGAGACUUUGAUUCCAUUUGUAGGCACAGAUUCAGCUGGAGACCUGCCCCUGGAGCCAGAGAAAUCUUGGAUAAGACACACCCAUCUCUUCUGCCUCAGGAACUGACUGAGAUUUUGAUGAGGCUUUGAUUCCAUUCCUAGGCACACAUUCAGCUGGAGACCUGCCCCUGGAGCCAGAGCAAUUUGCUGCUGCACAUCAGGAUCUGUAUGACAAGCUGACUCAGCAAGAAACGUUCCUAGAAGUGGUUCCAAUGCAAGACUAGGACCAGAACCAGGCCCUAGCUUAGCUUUUCACCUCAAAAGUAGGUUGAAAAUGUAGACCAGGAUCUGUAUAACAAGCUGACUCAGCAAGAAACGUUCCUAGAAGUGGUUCCAAUGCUAGACAGGGACCAGAACCAGGCCCUAGCUUAGCUUUUUGUUUGGACUCCGGUGAAGGCCCCAAGAUGGCGACAGGCAACCAUCUUGGCCACCCUGACUCAGCAUUAGCGGGUUCAUCUUCCCCCCGUUCCCGCCAUCCCGGCAAGAACGCGUGCCCGCUAAGGCGGGUCACACUCAGGAAAAUAAAACCUAACUAGCUCCGCCCUUGCCCCACCCCGAAUCCGCCCCUAACUCACCUAGUGUCCAUAUAAGCAUGCUGCACCUCCAACACAGUGCGACUUCCCCAGCCUUUCCCGGCGGACCAGUGAACCUCGCCCAAGAGCUUAAUAAAGGAACUUUUGCAUUCUUUGCCCUGCCUCUCGACCCUUUUUGUCUACGGAACUCUUCCAUUGCCUUUCACUUUUCACCUCAAAAGCAAGGUUCUAAAUGUAGACCAGGAUCUGUAUGACAAGCUGACUCAGCAAGAAACAUUCCUAGAAGUGGUUCCAAUGCUAGACUGGGACCAGAAUCAGGACCUAGCUGAGCUUUUCACCUCAAAAGUAAGGUUCAAAAUGUAGACUAGGAUCUGUAUGACAAGCUGACUCAGCAAGAAACGUUCCUAGAAGUGGUUCCAAUGCUAGACUGGGAGCAGAACCAGGCCCUAGCUUAGCUUUUUGUUUGGACUCUGGUGAAGGCCCCAAGAUGGCGACAGGCAACCAUCUUGGCCACCCUGACUCAGCAUUUCCGGGUUCAUCUUCCCCCCGUUCCCACCAUCCCGGCUAGCAUGCGUGCCCACUAAGGCGCGUCACACUCAGGAAAAGGAAACCUAACUAACUCCGCCCUUGCCCCACCCCGACUCCGCCCUUACCUCACCUAGUUUCCAUAUAAGUGAGCUGCACAUCCAACACAGUGCGACUUCCCUGGCCCUACCCUGCGGACCAGUGAACCUCGCCCAAGAGCUUAAUAAAGGAACUUUUGCCUUCUUUGCCCUGCCUCUCGACCCUUUUUGUCCGCGGCACCCUUCCAUUGUGUUUCACUUUUCACCUCAAAGGUAAGGUUCAAAAUGUAGACCAGAUUCUGCAUGACAAGCUGAUUCAGGAAGAAAUGUUCCUAGAAGUGGUUCCAAUGCCAGACUGGGACCAGAAACAGGUACUAGCUAAGCUUUUCACCUCAAAAGUAGGUUCAAAAUGUAGAUCAGGAUCUGUAUGACAAGCUGACUCAGCAAGAAACGUUCCUAGAAGUGGUUCCAAUGCUAGAACGGGACCAGAACCAGGCCCUAGCAUAGCUUUUCCCCUCAAAGUAAGGUUCAAAAUGUAGACCAGGAUCUGUAUGACAAGCUGACUCAGCAAGAAACGUUCCUAGAAGUGCUUCCAAUGCUAGACUGGGAGCAGAACCAGGCCCUAGCUUACGUUUUUGUUUGAACUCCGGUGAAGGCCCCAAGAUGGCGACAGGCAACCAUCUUGGCCACCCUGACUCAGCAUUUCUGGGUUCAUCUUCCCCCCAUUCCCGCCAUCCCGGCUAGCACGCGUGCCCACUAAGGCGCGUCACUCUCAGGAAAACGAAACCUAACUAACACCACCCUUGCCCCACCCCGACUCCGCCCCUACAUCACCUAGUGUCCAUAUAAGCGUGCUGCAACUCCAACACAGUGCGACUUCCCUGGCCCUCCCCUGCGGACAAGUGAACCUUGCCCGAGGGCUUAAUAAAGGAAAUUUGCCUUCUUUGCCCUGCUUCUCGACCCCUUUUGUCCGAGGCACUCUUCCAUUGCCUUUCACUUUUCACCUCAAAAGUAAGGUUCAAAAUGUAGAUCAGGAUCUGUACGACAAGCUGACUCAGCAAGAAACGUUCCUAGAAGUGGUUCCAAUGCUAGACUGGGACCAGAACCAGGCCCUAGCUUAGCUUUUCACCUCAAAACUAGGUUCAAAAUGUAGAUCAGGAUCUGUAUGACAAGCUGUCUCAGCAAGAAACGUUCCUAGAAGGUUCCAAUGCUAGACUGGGACCAGAGCCAGGCCCUAGCUCAGCUUUUCACCUCAAAAGUAAGGUUCAAAAUGUAGACCAGAUUCUGCAUGACAAGCUGACUCAGCAAGAAACGUUCCUAGAAGUGGUUCCAAUGAUAGACUGGGACCAGAACCAGGCCCUAGCUUAGCUUUUUGUUUGGACUCUGGUGAAGGCCCCAAGAUGGCGACAGGCAACGAUCUUGGCCACCCUGACUCAGCAUUUCCGGGUUCAUCUUCCCCUGGUUCCCGCCAUCCGGGCUAGCACGUGUGUGCACUAAGGUGCGUCACUCUCAUGAAAACGAAACCUAACUAACUCCGCCCUUGCCCCACCCCGACUCUGCCCCUACCUCACCUAGUGUCCAUAUAAGCAUGCUGCACCUCCAACACAGUGCGACUUCCCUGGCCCUCCCCUGCGGACCACUGAACCUCGCCCGAGAGCUUAAUAAAGGAACUUUUGCCUUCUUUGCCCUGCCUCUUGAUGCUUUUUGUCCGCAGCACCCUUCCAUUGCCUUUCACUUUUCACCUCAAAAGUAAGGUUCAAAAUGUAGACCAGGAUUUGCAUGACAGACUGACUCAGGAAGAAACGUUCCUAGAAGUGGUUCCAAUGCUAGACUGGGACCAGAACCACGCCCUAGUUUAGCUUUUCACCUCAAAAGUAGGUUCAAAAUGUAGAUUAGGAUGUAUAUGACAAGCUGACUCAGCAAGAAACGUUCCUAGAAGUGGUUCUAAUGCUAGACUGGGACCAGAACCAGGCCCUAGCCUAGCUUUUUGUUUGGAUUCCGGUGAAGGCCCCAAGAUGGUGACAGGCAACCAUCUUGGCCACCCUGACUCAGCAUUUCCGGGUUCAUCUUCCCCCGGUUCCCGCCAUCCGCGCUAGCACGUGUGCCCACUAAGGCGCAUCACACUCAUCAAAAUGAAACCUAACUCCACCCUUGCCCCACCCCGACUCUGCCCCUACCUCACCUAGUGUCCAUAUAAGCGUGCUGCACCUCCAACACAGUGCGACUUCCCUGGCCCUCCCCUGCGGACCAGUGAACCUCGCCCAAGAGCUUAAUAAAGGAACUUUUGCCUUCUUUGCCCUGCCUCUCGAUGCUUUUUCUCCGCGGCACCCUUCCAUUGCCUUUCACUUUUCACCUCAAAAGUAAGGUUCAAAAUGUAGACCAGGAUCUGUAUGACAAGCUGACUCAGCAAGAAACGUUCCUAGAAGUGGUUCCAAUGCUAGACUGGGACGAGAACCAGGCCCUAGCUUAGCUUUUUGUUUGGACUCUGGUGAAGGCCCCAAGAUGGCGAGAGGAAACCAUCUUGGACACCCUGACUCAGCAUUUCCGGGUUCAUCUUCCCCCCAUUCCCGCCAUCUCGGAUAGCACGCAUGCCCACUAAGGCGCAUCACACUCAUGAAAACAAAACCUAAUUAACUCCGCCCUUGCCCCACCCCAACUCCGCCCCUACCUCAGCUAGUGUCCAUAUAAGCGUGCUGCACCUCCAACACAGUUGGACUUCCCUGGCCCUCCCCUGCGGACCAGUGAACCUCGCCCGAGAGCUUAAUAAAGGAACCUUUGCCUUCUUUGCCCUGCCUCUCAACGCUUUUUCUCCGCGGCACCCUUCCAUUGCCUUUCACUUUUCACCUCAAAAGUAAGGUUCAAAAUGUAGACCAGGAUCUGUAUGACAAGCUGACUCAGCAAGAAACGUUCCUAGAAGUGGUUCCAAUGCUAGACUGGGACCAGAACCAGGCCCUAGCUCAGCAUUUCACCUCAAAAUAAGGUUCAAAAUAUACACCAGGAUCUGUAUGACAAGCUGACUCAGCAAGAAAUGUUCCUAGAAGUGGUUCCAAUGCUAGACAGGGACCAGAACAAGGCCCUAGCUUAGCUUUUCACCUCAAAAGUAAGGUUCAAAACGUAGACCAGGAUCGGUAUGACAAGCUGACUCAGCAAGAAACGUUCCUAGAAGUGGUUCCAAUGCUAGACUGGGACCAGAACCAGGCCCUAGCUUAGCUUUUUGUUUGGACUCUGGUGAAGGCCCCAAGAUGGCGACAGGCAACCAUCUUGGCCACCCUGACUCAGCAUUUCCGGGUUUAUCUUCCCCCGGUUCCUGCCAUCCCGGAUAGCACGCAUGCCCACUAAGGCAUGUCACACUCAGCAAAAUCGAAACCUAACUACCUACGCCCUUGCCCCACCCCGACUCUGCCCCUACCUCACCUAGUGUCCAUCAUAAGCAUGCUGCACCUCCAACACAAUGUGACUUCCCUGGCCCUCCCCUGCGGACCAGUGAACCUCGCCCGAGAGCUUAAUAAAGGAACCUUUGCCUUCUUUGCCCUGCCUCUCGACCCUUUUUGUCCGCGGCACCCUUCCAUUGCCUUUCACUUUUCACCUCAAAAGUAAGGUUCAAAAUGUAGAUCAGGAUCUGUAUGACAAGCUGACUCAGCAAGAAACGUUCUUGAAGUGGUCCAAUGCUAGAAUGGAACCAGAACCAGGCCCUAGCUUAGCUUUUCACCUCAAAAGUAAGGUUCCAAAUGUACACCAGGAUGUUGCCCAAUCUGCAUGACAAGCUGACUCAGCAAGAAACGUUCCUAGAAGUGGUUCCAAUGCUAGACUGGGACCAGAACCAGGCCCUAGCUUAGCUUUUUGUUUGGACUCUGGUGAAGGCCCCAAGAUGGCGACAGGCAACCAUCUUGGCCACCCUGACUCAGCAUUUCCGGGUUCAUCUUCCCCCGGUUCCCGCCAUCCGGGCUAGCACGUGUGCCCACUAAGGCGCAUCACACUCAUCAAAAUGAAACCUAACUCCACCCUUGCCCCACCCCGACUCUGCCCCUACCUCACCUAGUGUCCAUAUAAGCGUGCUGCACCUCCAACACAGUGCGACUUCCCUGGCCCUCCCCUGCGGACCAGUGAACCUCGCCCGAGAGCUUAAUAAAGGAACUUUUGCCUUCUUUGCCCUGCCUCUCGACGCUUUUUCUCCGCAGCACCCUUCCAUUGCCUUUCACUUUUCACCUCAAAAGGAAGGUUCAAAAUGUAGACCAGGAUCUGUACGACAAGCUGACUCAGCAAGAAACGUUCCUAGAAGUGGUUCCAAUGCUAGACUGGGACCAGAACCAGGCCCUAGCUUAGCUUUUCACCUCAAAAGUGAGGUUCAAAAUGUAGAUGAAGAUCAGACUGCAGAUCAUCAGGCAUACGAGGUCUCCUCCAUGGUUGGAGACAGUUUAACCUCUAGUAGGCUCUGUAGUUAUGGUAAGGGAUGGAAUUGUGAGUUGAGUCAGGCUUGAAUGCUGAGCCUCACCUUUGUCUGGAGGUGGAAAUGUCACCUUACGGCGUUUUGGAGCUGGAGCUGUAGUCGUCAGGGCUGUAGAAGGUUCAACCUUUGUAGUGGAUUCAGGCAUGAUGGUAAGCCCCCGAUCUAAAGGUUGAAUUGUGAGUUGAGUCUGACCCUUGUCUGAAGGUGGAAGUCUCACCUCAGGAUGUUUUGGAGAAGAAAAUGUAGUCGUCAGAGCUGUAGAAGGUUCAACCUCUGUAGUGGAUUCUGGAGUGAUGGUAAGCCCCUGAUCCAAAUGUUGAACUGUGGCUUGAGUCAGGUUUGAAUGCUGAGUCUGAACAUGGCCUGGAUGUGGAAGUGUCACCUUAGGGUGGUUUGGAGGAACUAUAGUCUUCUUCAAGGGUGUAGGAUGUUCAACCUCUGUAUUGGAUUCUGGACUUAUGGUAAGUCCCAGGUGCAAAGGUUGAACUGUAAUGCUGGGUGACAUUGAAUGCUGAGUUUGAUCCUGACCUGGUGUUGCGGCUGUUACCUCUUGAUAUGCUGGAAGUUGGGGUACAACUUUCUUAGGAGGCUGAGUUGGGGUCUCCUGCAUGGUUGGAGAAAGUUCAACGUCUGUUGUGGAUUCUGGAGUGAUGGUAAGCCCCAGAUCCAAAGGUUGAACUGUGAAACUGGCUAAUAUUGAGUGCUGAGCUUGAUUCUGCGCUUGUGUUGGAACUGUCACCUCAUAGUGAGCUGGAUGUUGAGCUGCAACCUCCUUAAGUGGCUAUGGAAGCUGAAGUGGGACCAUCUGCUGGCUUGAAAGUUCUAUGUCCUUAGGGGGCUCUGGAACCUGAACUGUGGCCUCCUGCUGGGUUGGAGAAGGUUCUGCCUCCAUAGAGGGCUCUGGAAUCUGAGCUGGAACCUCCUGCUGAGUUAGAUAUGGUCCAACCUCCUGAGGGAACUCUGGAGGCAAAGAUGGGGCUAUCUGCUGGGUCAGACAGGGUUCUGUCACCAUAGGGGGCUCUGAAGACUGAGCAGGGCCUGCCUGCUAGACUGGAGAGGAUUCUACCUCUUUAGUUGGCUCUAAAAGCUGAGUUGGGGGCUGCUGUAGGACUGGAGAUGGUUCGACCUUCUUAGGUGGCUCUGAUGGCUGAGCUGAUAUCUCCUGCUGCGGUGGAGGAGUGACCUCUUCAGUGGACUUUGGAGGAUGACCUGAGGCUUCCUGCUGGGUUGCACAUGGUUCAACCUCCUUAGGGGCCUCUGGUGACUCAGCUUGAACUCUUGCUGGACUGGAGAAGGUUCUACCUUCUUAGGAGGAUCUGGAGUCUGAGCUGUGGCCUCUUACUGGACUGGAGGUUCAAUCUUUUCAGGAGAAUGCAGAGGUGGGGAAGGCAGAUCAGGCUGGGCUAGAGAAAAGUCAGCCUGCUCAGUGGGAAUAGGAGGGUUGUCUUGCUGGACUGGAGAAGGUUCAACCUCCAUAGUGACUGCUGAAGGUAUGGGAAGCUCCAUAUCCACAUUUUUAACUGUGGUAUUAGGCAAAGUUGAAUUACUUCUGAAUAUUGAAGACAGAUCUAGAGGUGAAAAUAUCAUCCCAUCAUUCAGUGAACUUUCAAAGUCUGAAGAGAGCUCGAUUGGAAGCUGAGUUGCGGGCUCUUGAUGGACUGGAGGAAGUUCAUCAUUUUCGGGGUAUUUAGCUGCUGAACUAUAAUCUCUUGCUGGUCUUUCAAAUGUUGAAACUUCUCAGGGGACACUAAGGGCUGAGCUGGGGCCCCCUGUUGGGUUAAAAUUUCAACCUGAUUAGUGAAAUCUGGAGUCAUGGUAACCAUGUGAUCCACAGGUUUAACAGUGACAUUGUACAAUGUUGGAGGCUGAACUUGAUCAUGACUUAGAGGAGAAACUGUUACCUCAUGAUGCUCUGGAGAUUGAGCUACAACUUCAUUAAGGAGCUCUGGAGUCUGAGCUGGGGCCUCCUGCUGGGUUAGAGAAGACUCAACCUCCUCAGGGGUCUGUGGAUGCUCAGCCUCCUGCUGGGCUGCAGAGGGGUUCUGAUCCUUAAUAGGUUCUGGAGACUGAACUGAAGUCUCCUGUUGAACUGGUAAAGGCCCAGCCUCUUCCAAUGACUCUGGAGGCAGGGGUGGGCCCCCAUGCUGGGUGGCAGAAGGUUCUACAUCAUUAACUGGCCCUGAGAGCUGAGCUGUACCCUCUUGGUAGACUGGAGAAGUUCCCACCUCUGCAGUAGGCUCUGUUGCUAUGGUGAGCUGCAUAUCUGGAGGCUUAACAGUGACAUUGGGCAAACCGGAAUGCUGAGCUUGAUGGUGACCUGGAGGUGAAACUGUGACUUCAUAAUGUUCUGGAGGCUGAGCUGGGGUCUCCUUCUUGGCUGGAGAAGAUUCAACCUCCCCAGAAGACUCAGAGGGCUAAGCUGGCUGUUCCUGCUCACUGCGGGAAGGGUCAGCCUCCACAGGAGGACCUGGAGGAUCAGUUGUGGCCUCCUCUUGGGUUGCAGAAGUUUCCACCUCCUCUGGAGACUGGGUUGGGGCCUCCUGCUGGGAUGGAGAAGAUUCAGUCUCCUUGGCAGACUCUGAAGUUAUGGCAAUAUCCACAUCCGCAGGUUUAACUGUAACAUUGGGCAAGUUAUAAUGAGCUUGAUCCUCGCCUGGAAGUUGAACUGUCACCUCAUGAUUCAGUGGAGUUUGAAUUGCACCCUCCAUAGACUCUGGAGCUGAGCUGGGGCCUCCUGCUGGGUCUGAGAAGGUUCAACUCCCCUAGGAAACUCACAAGGCUGAGCUGGCUGCUCCUGCUCACUGGGGGAAGGUUCAACCUCCACAGGAGGACCUGGAGGCUCAGCUGGAGUCCCUUGCUGAGUUGCAGAAGGUUUCAUCUCCUCAGGGAACUCUGUUGUCUGAGCUGGGGCCUUUAAUUGGGCUGAGGAAGAGUUGACCUCCUUGGGGUGCUCUGGAGGCAGACAGGCAGCCUGUUCCUGGCUUGACAUUGGGCAAGUGUGAGUGCUGAGUUUCACUCCAACUUUUAAAUGGGACAUUUACCUCAUGAUGUAUUGAUGGCUGAGCUACAAUUUCUUCAGAGGGAGGUAGCUGCUGUGCUGGGCACUCCUGCUCUGUUGAAGAAGAGCGACCCCCUCAAGGGACUGUGAAGGCAGAGCUGGGGACUCCUGCUGGUUAAAGAAGGUUCUACCUCCUCAGGGAGCUGUGGAAGCUGUGCUGGGGCUUCUUGCUGGAGCUAAGAGGACUGGAUCUCUUCAAGGGUCUCUGGGUUUUGAGUUUCAGGCUCUAGAAGGAAUUGAGAAAGUCCAGCUUGCUCAUCUGAGUUCACCUGGACUUCUGAAGGCAGGCUGCCCGGAUACAGUUGAUGACUAAGCUCUGAUUCUUUAUUUUGCCCAAAUUCCUACCUAAGGGGUCUAGGGAGUCAUGCCCUACAAACCAUAAAUUCUCACCAGAUGGGUUUUAUUUGACCCUAUAUAUCAUGACUUACUUUUCAAUCUAAUUCUGGCACAAGGAAAAAAUAUUUAACCCACAAUAUAUUUCUUUGCCAUACCUUGAAAUUGCCCUGCCAAAUCUCAAGUGGGAAAAAUCCACAUUCUAUAGAGAAUCAAUCCCCUUUCCCCUUUGUUUUCCUUCCUUUUUUUCCAGAUCCAGGAGAGAAUAAACUAUAAGCCAGGCACCCUUUUAGGUCCAAUAAGAAACAUUUUAUAACCUACUUUCCCCCUGAACUCUGCUGAGAGAUUCGUCUGCACAACAAAACAUGGUCUCCACAAUCCUUUAUCUUAACCUGAACAUUCCUUUCCAUUGAUCCCAGGUCUUCGGAUAAACUCAACCAAUUGUCAACCAGAAAAUAUUUAAAUUUAACUGUAGCCUGGAAGCCCCCACUUUGAGUUGUCCCGCCUUUCUGAACCAAACCAUUGCAUUUCUUCAUGUAUUUGAUUGAUGCCUCAUGCCUCCCUGAAAUAUAUAAAACCAAGCUCUACCCCAACCACCUUGGGCACUGUAAGGCUCUUGUGUUGGUUUGAACCCUGAGAGCACACCAACAAACAUGCAGCUAAUGCUCAGUGCAUCAAAAGAUGCUAGUGUUUGAAAGACUCAGAGACUUCUCUCAGUAAUUUGCCAAGCACUUACAGAACUCCAUUUAUAUACAAAUCUUUCUUACCCUCCCAUCUCAAAAGGUAUGGCUGAUGGUCCAUUAUCUCUCAGAAAAAUGUAUUAUAGCUCCAGAUGGUAGAAUGACCAGGAAGAA
RNAcentral lists this long non-coding RNA (11711 nucleotides) under Pan troglodytes (chimpanzee). RNAcentral describes it as "long non-coding RNA NONPTRT007212". Lineage: Eukaryota; Metazoa; Chordata; Mammalia; Primates; Hominidae. The record is from RNAcentral.